Molecule: ribosomal RNA, 301 nt
Filed under: uncultured bacterium
Lineage: Bacteria
Description: partial 16S ribosomal RNA
Rfam family: Bacterial small subunit ribosomal RNA
Source: RNAcentral
CAGCCGCCGCGGUAAUACGUAGGGUGCGAGCGUUAAUCGGAAUUACUGGGCGUAAAGCGUGCGCAGGCGGUUAUAUAAGACAGAUGUGAAAUCCCCGGGCUCAACCUGGGACCUGCAUUUGUGACUGUAUAGCUAGAGUACGGUAGAGGGGGAUGGAAUUCCGCGUGUAGCAGUGAAAUGCGUAGAUAUGCGGAGGAACACCGAUGGCGAAGGCAAUCCCCUGGACCUGUACUGACGCUCAUGCACGAAAGCGUGGGGAGCAAACAGGAUUAGAUACCCCGGUAGUCCCUGUCUCUUAUAA